GACGAACGCUGGCGGCGUGCCUAAUACAUGCAAGUAGAACGCACAGUUUAUACCGUAGCUUGCUACACCAUAGACUGUGAGUUGCGAACGGGUGAGUAACGCGUAGGUAACCUGCCUGGUAGCGGGGGAUAACUAUUGGAAACGAUAGCUAAUACCGCAUAAUAUUGAUUAUUGCAUGAUAAUUGAUUGAAAGAUGCUAUUGCAUCACUACCAGAUGGACCUGCGUUGUAUUAGCUAGUAGGUGAGGUAACGGCUCACCUAGGCGACGAUACAUAGCCGAGCUGGAAGGGUGAUCGGCCACCCUGGGACUGGGACACGGCCCAGACUCCUACGGGGAGCAGCAGUAGGGAAUCUUCGGCAAUGGACGAAAGGCUGACCGAGCAACGCCGCGUGAGGGAAGAAGGUUUUCGGAUCGUAAAGCUCUGUUGUAAGAGAAGAACGGGUGUGAGAGUGGAAAGUUCACACUGUGACGGUAUCUUACCAGAAAGGGACGGCUAACUACGUG
This 505-nucleotide ribosomal RNA is filed under the name uncultured bacterium. RNAcentral describes it as "partial 16S ribosomal RNA". It matches the Rfam family "Bacterial small subunit ribosomal RNA", at positions 28 to 507 of the family's 1533-position model. The record is from RNAcentral.